AGCAGUCGCCACGGUAAUACGAGGGGGGCGAGCGUUGUUCGGAAUUAUUGGGCGUAAAGGGCGCGUAGGCGGUUUGGCAAGUUUCGUGUGAAAUCUUCGGGCUCAACUCGAAGUCUGCACGGAAAACUGCCGGGCUUGAGUAUGGGAGAGGUGAGUGGAAUUUCCGGUGUAGCGGUGAAAUGCGUAGAUAUCGGAAGGAACACCUGUGGCGAAAGCGGCUCACUGGACCAUAACUGACGCUGAGGCGCGAAAGCUAGGGGAGCAAACAGGAUUAGAUACCCCCGUAGUCCCUGUCUCUUAUAA
RNAcentral lists this ribosomal RNA (303 nucleotides) under uncultured bacterium. RNAcentral describes it as "partial 16S ribosomal RNA". It matches the Rfam family "Bacterial small subunit ribosomal RNA", at positions 507 to 809 of the family's 1533-position model. The record is from RNAcentral.